AACCAUUCUCACCUGCGGCUAGACCUGCGGAAGGAUCAUUACCGAGUUUACAACUCCCAAACCCCUGUGAACAUACCAAUUGUUGCCUCGGCGGAUCAGCCCGCUCCCGGUAAAACGGGGCGGCCCGCCAGAGGACUCCUAAACUCUGUUUCUAUAUGUAACUUCUGAGUAAAACCAUAAAUAAAUCAAAACUUUCAGCAACGGAUCU
RNAcentral lists this unclassified non-coding RNA (208 nucleotides) under soil metagenome. RNAcentral describes it as "partial contains 5.8S ribosomal RNA, internal transcribed spacer 2, and large subunit ribosomal RNA". The record is from RNAcentral.